UACGUAGGGUGCAAGCGUUAAUCGGAAUCACUGGGCGUAAAGCGCACGUAGGCGGACUCUUAAGUCGGUGGUGAAAUCCUGGAGCUCAACUCCAGAACUGCCUUCGAUACUGGGAGUCUUGAGUUCGGGAGAGGUGAGUGGAACUGCGAGUGUAGAGGUGAAAUUCGUAGAUAUUCGCAAGAACACCAGUGGCGAAGGCGGCUCACUGGCCCGAUACUGACGCUGAGGUGCGAAAGCGUGGGGAGCAAACAGG
Molecule: ribosomal RNA, 253 nt
Filed under: uncultured bacterium
Lineage: Bacteria
Description: partial 16S ribosomal RNA
Rfam family: Bacterial small subunit ribosomal RNA
Source: RNAcentral